Canis lupus familiaris (dog) is the source of this 5261-nucleotide long non-coding RNA. RefSeq lists it as uncharacterized. The record is from RefSeq and is a predicted model, not a curated record. Lineage: Eukaryota; Metazoa; Chordata; Mammalia; Carnivora; Canidae. The transcript is spliced from 3 exons.
AAUUGUAAAUGGGAUUGACUCCUUAAUUUCUCUUUCUUCAGUCUCAUUGUUAGUGUAAGAAUUUCCAUUUUUAAUGAGUUUCUAUAAAUGUUGUUGCUGCUUGUCCAGUGCUAUAGACUGAAUGUUUGUGUCCUCCCAAAAUUCAUAUGUUGAAAUCCUAACCUCCAAGGUGAUGGUAUCAGGGGGUGGGGGCCUUUGAAAGGUGAUUAGGUCUUGAGAACAGCACCUUUGUGAAUGAGAUUAGCACCCUUAUAAAAGAGACCCCAGAGAGCUCUCUUCCCCCUCCCACCAUGAAGGACAUAGUGGAUGGACUACCAGGAAGCAGGUUUUCACCAGAGACUGUGGCCACCCUGAUCUUGGACUUCCCAAAGUGUGAGAAAUACAUUUUUGUUAUUUAUAAGCUACGUGGCCUAUGGUAUUCUGUUAUAGCAGCCUGAAUUUAUCAAGACACCCAGGGUCUGCACUUUCAGAACUGCUAAUUAUUAACGUAGGCAUUUCCUCCAUUUUUAAGUAAGAAAAUUGAGAAUCAGAGGUUAAAUAACAAAGCUAGCAAAUCGUAGAGCCAGGUUUAAGCACAAAUUUGUUUAAUCCAAAAGUCUGUCCUUUUUGGUCUAUGUUUUACUUGUCCCUUACGUGUGAUCCUAUUGCUCAGCCACAAAGUAUGUUAAUUAUUUUGUCAGGGUCAUUCAUUCAGGGUGCUGCAUAAUUGGGGACUGGUCACUGGGAGUCUUCACAAGAUGGCAUAUAACUGAGAGGAUCAGGGUCUGGCGCUUUGGGCUCCAAAUUCAGAAACAGAUCUUGUUGUUGUUUCUGAGUUGACUGGACUUACAUGAAAAAAGUUCUCAACAGGCUGAUGUAUAAAGUCAUAAUGCCAGCUUAAUAAUUUAUUAUGAGAAAAAUAAUUGCCACAGGACCAGAAAUUCCUGGUUGGCCUGAGGGUAUGCUCUCCCUGGAGACAAGUUAUAUGUGUAAGAGAAACCAAAUUAUCAGAAGGCUGCUUGGUGACCAUGGAAGUAAGGCUAGGAGACUUAAUAUGACUCAAACACUUCAUGUCAUCAGCUUUGUUGGCAUGCCCCAGUGCGUACGUUUCCAGAAAAGAGACAACGCAUCAGGUGCAUUAGUAUAUAAGUUGGACUGACCAAGUACUUCACUGUUCCCUGGAUGGUGCCCAAAUGAACCCACUGCUAUUGGCUGUUGGGAGUCCCUUCUCCCCCUAUAUAUCUAAGGCGAUUUACCUUCUUUCAGACUCAGUGUGUUGGAAGUGUCUAAACAGUUUCAGUCUGAUGAAAACUAAGACUGGUAGGUCUGAGAAUGCUACGGUCUGAAUGUUUGUAUCCUCUCCAAAUUCAUAGGUGGAGCUCUCAUGAGGGGGCUUGGGGCCCUUAUAGAAAAGGUUCCAGAGAGUUCUCUUGUCCCUCUGCCAUGUGAAAUCACAGGAGAAGACAGCUGUCUAUGACGAAUUUUUACAGAAACCUGGUUAGGGAGAGACCUGAACACAAUAUAGGAUACUGAAGCUAACAUCCACGGUAUUUCAGUGUGACCUGUGAGUGGAUGGGAAAGACCUCGGGAAGACUCGCUGGGGUUGGAUCUUGAAGGAUGAGUAGGACUUAGAAAAUAGAAAGAAGGUGACCUCACAGGCCUAGAAGAGGAUUUGUAUGAAUAAAUCAGAGGAAAAGAAGCUGAGGGUUGAAUUCUAGAUUUUUGUAAUUUCCUAUGUUUGUGGAUUGAAGCAAGUAUAUGUUCAUGACUGGGAUAAUGCAAAACAUUCUCUAAAGUGGUGCAUUUGCCCAAAUCCACUAAUCAAACUCCUCCAAGCCCUGGGAGAAAUGGAUCACCCUGUCAGAGGAGUCCGAUGCUUCAAAUGCUACCAGUGGAGGGCAGGAGGGGUAGGGGGCCACUUCCUAGAACCACUCAGCAUCUUCAGUGCUUCCCACUUCUUCAGGGUCUUCAGGAUGGACACUGGGAAUGUCGACAUGGGGCACAGCCUUCUGAAGAUAUGGCUGAAAGGGGCUGCUUUGCAUCCUUGAGUGACUGUAGGCAGUUCAAGUGAGUGCUCUGGACCUUUCUCUUCCUGGGUCAGUCACUGGGCUAAGUGCGUGCUUGGAAGCUGCCAGGUUCUGGACGGAGCUUUUGUUAGAAAAAUCUGUGUUAACCAACAAGUUCCUGGAAUUCUAUAAAACCUUGUGGAUUUGAACACAAACAAAUAGAAAAUGUCUAUUAUCUCCAAAUUAGCCCUCCUGCUGCGUUUUCAAAUGGAUCUGAAAUCUCCAUUUACAUGCUGCAAUGGUAAAAAGCCUCUCAAAGGUUAUUUGAAAUCUGAGCUGAUUGCAAACGGAUUGAUUUCCAGCAAAUGUGGCAAAAUGACCAAGAGGGAUUCAGGACAGCAUCUUACAUACUGUGAUGUUCAAUACAAGGUCUUGGACUCGAGAUGAGAAUAAGGAUUCCUUUGCAGGUCGCAAACAUCCUGUGCUUCUCUGCCUCCCCCACCUCCUCCUUGCCCCACAUCUCCCCACGCUCCAUGCCCAAACAAAUUACCAAAUGUUAGAAGAGGAAAGUUGGAGUCCUGCUGGGUUUAUUUUGCUUUAUUUGUUCUGGAUUUAGAUUUAAAACCUUCCAGUGGAUGAACUGUAUCGAGGGCUUUUCAUUUCAUAUUGGGAAAUGUGUUGUUAUGCACAGUUCAUUCUAUUAAAAAACAAAACAUGUAAACCUAAAUUAAAAUGCAUAGCGUGGAUCCCUCAGAGGGGGCUUCUGAAACAAGCCGGGCAUGAAAUGUUGCAUAGAUUUCUUGUUAACCAGAAAAUUAUUUUAGCAAGCGACCCUUCCUGAGGUGUCAGGAAGGAGCAGGGGGUGUCUUGAGCCUCCAAAGCUGUGUGCUGGGUGCUCGAUAUUACGUACAUUUAUCUCGGCUGCCAGGAACUCUACGUUGCCAUCUGUCUUAAGCUUUGCCAGAAGCUACCUGUGGUUUAAAAGGACGGAAAGGUCUGGAGAACAAGGGGGCUUAGGGAAAUAAUGUGGAAAUAAAAUAUUAGCCAUUUUGUCGUUCACUUUCCUCCUGACACAACCAUGGGAGGCAUUUACCCCUUUUUCUCAGGUUUCAUGCUGUGAGGAUGCUUGUGUGAUGAUUUUUUAAAAACACAAAACUAACUUCCUACGGUGGACACAGUCAUAACCUGGUGUCUAGAAAUACAGUUAUGGGGCCCUUCUAUCAGGGCUGUUUGCUAGAGCACCGGAUGGAACAGGCAACUGCUGGGUGAGGAGCCCUCUGUGGGAGGAGGCCCCAGUGGUUUACCUGUCAUAGGUUCCUCUAUAGGCAAGGGCAGUAACAGAACCGAGACAGCCAUCAGUAGUUAGAGCAAAUCCUCUUUCAGGCUACAUUUCCAGAAACUGUUUCAAUGUGGUGGCAUUAAUACUAACAUCUGCCCCUUCUGUUUUCUGCAAUUGCAUUCUAAAGAAACAGCUUUGGGAAUUAGAUUUAAAAUUGUGGCUCUUGGUGAACUGUGGAACUCUAACUAAGGCCCUACCUAAGUAAGGGGAAACAGAAAUUGUCAGGGUGAAUGAAAAUGUCACAGUAAAUAUGUGGUGUUUUAAUUUCACCCUUAGCAAUAAAUUCCGAAUCCAUGCAAUAUAAUCCAAAAAAAAAAAAAAAAAAAAAGACGCAGUGAGUCUAAAUGGUAAUUGGCCAGUGGUUCUGAAAGGUCAAGCAUGGGCCAGCUACUUCAUUACCUGCUCUGUGACCCUGGCCAACUUAACUACUGUUUCCUGAUCUCUAAAUUGAAGAGUGAUGAGGAUCUUGUGUCAUAACACACAUGCUUGGCACUUUGGGAGGGUCAAUGUGUCUACUUUUUCAUUUCCAUCCCCUUUCCUUAUUUUAUAUUGUUUUUAGUAUGACAGGGUUAAACAGAAAAGUAAUAAGGUGACAUCAGAAAUCAUGCUUUCCUGUUUACUUAAAAACAAAAAUCACUUCUUCCUGUAAGCGGCCUGAGGUGAUCUCUCACAAUGUUGUGCUACUCACUCAACUCAGAAAACACUACAAGGUCAUGCAAAUCAAGAGGUUCAGAUCUUCAUGUUCACUUUAAGAACACAUGUGAAACUGCCUGGGCUAUAUUGGUGGGAUAGCGUAAAAGCCACCAAGUAUCUGAAGGAUGUCACUUUGCAGAAGCAAUGUGUGGCAUUCCGUUACUACGGUGGUGGAGCUGGUAGGUAGGGGCUACCACUAUAAACAGCAGGACUGCAUGCAGGGUCAGGGGCCCAAAUAGAGUGCUGGGUUUUGACUGCACAUGCUUAAAAAUGCAGAGAAUAAUGCUGGACUUAAGGGUUUAGAUGUAGAUUCUCUGGUCAUUGAGCUCAUCCUGGUGAACAAAGCUUCUAAGAUGCAGCAUAGAAUUUGUAGGACUCAUGGUUGGAUUCACCUAUACAUGAGUUCUCCCUGCUUCCCUGAGAUGAUCCUUACUUAAAAGGGGCAGAUUAUUCCUAACAAGGAAAGGAAGUUGAGAGAAAAAAAAAGAAGAAAAUAUCCCAGAAGAAACUGAAGAAACAAAAACUUAGGCCUUGGGAGUAAAUUCUGCAUAAAAUAAAUGUAAAUAAAAGUAAAAACAGAAAGGAAAUCACAGUAUUAAAGAGGAUUUUCAGGGGGGACCUGGGUGGCUCAGUCAGUUGAAUGGGAUGGAGCCCUGCAUCUGGCUCAUUGCUCAGUGGGGAGUCUGCUUCUCCCUUGUCUCUGCCUCUCCCCCUCCUCUGUCUCUCAUGAAUAAAUAAAUGAAAUUUAAGAAAAAAUAAAGAGGGUUUCUUUGGUAAUGCAGAGUAAAGAAAUUAUCGAAUUAUGAAGAAUCAUCACUACAAAAAUAAAGCGUGGUUGGUUUUUUGUUUUGUUUUUGCACAGUUGUAUGAUUUCAAGAUGUCCUAGUCUGACCCAUGAAACCUUGCCUAUCCUUCUGUACUUCCUCCAUGACCUUCCUUACUCAUCUCUUGUAUCCUUCAUCAGUAAAUGCUUAUAGAGCUUCCAGUGUGUUAGGAGUAGAGAUAGUUUUAGGAUAUUUGGAAGAGCUGGGCCCUAGGAAAUGGGGAUAGUAAGUCUUGGGGCUCCCUUUAUCUCUGACUCACUGUGAUGUCUUGGUAGCCUUAGAUGAGAAAAUUAGUGUUUGUCAAGGAUGAGUCCUUUCCCUACUCCUUUCUGCACUCCCCUUCUGGAUGGAGACAACCUGAACCCCUGUCCUUGAAGACCUUCCAAUUUUCAACUUGAUGAGAGUAAUAUUUCAUAAGUA